CAAGGAGGCGGGGAAGAGCCGGGAAGAGCUGCAGAAGGCGGGGUAAGGGGGCCCCGGCGGCGGGAGCGGUCCCGGGCGCGGUGCGGUGAGGCCGGGCCAACUCCGGGAGCCGCUGCUCCGCGGGGAACCUUCCCCUGCCCUCGCCCGGGACAACAGGGGCCCGCCCGGCCGCCAUGGACUCCGGCAGCGAGACCCACGAACUCAACGGGACGGCGGAGGGCGCGGAGUCGGCUGCCGAGGAGCAGAAGGUGGCAGUGGUACCAAAGGAACAGACCCAUCAACAUCAACCACUACGCCAACAAGAAGAGCGCGGCUGAGAGCAUGCUGGACAUCGCCCUGCUGAUGGCCAACGCCUCCCAGCUCAAAGCUGUCAUGGAGCAAGGGCCCUCCUUUUCCUUCUACGUCCCGCUGAUCAUUCUCAUCAGUCUGUCGCUCACCCUGCAAGUUAUGGUGGGAGUGCUCUUGAUAUUCCUUGUAAAAUAUGACCUUAACAACCCUGCAAAACAUGGAAAACUGAAUUUCCUCAACAACCUUGCAACUGGACUAGUAUUCAUUAUAGUAGUUGUGAAUAUUUUUAUCACUGCUUUUGGAGUGCAGAAACCAGUUGCUGAGCCAGCAUCAAGACAAUAAGGACCAGAGACCUGGAGCAUUCAUUUUAGAUGCCAUUUGCAGUUGAGCCAGCUACACUGGACACAGUGGGGAAAGAAAAAUAAUUUGAAGAAGCUGGACACACCAAGCAGCUUUCUCAAGCUUCCAACACACUUGUAUACCUGAAAUUUUCCCAUGUGUUAAUAUUUAAAUUGUUUGGCAUCUAAGAGAAGGUUAGCUUUGCCCCAAGGAUGCUGUUCUUCUGGAAUAUUGGCAUUUCAAUUUCUGAAGAAUUUUUUUUUCUUUUUUUUUUUCAGAGAAGUAACAUAAAUUCAUGAAACAAGGAAAUAUCAUCUGGUAGCAUUUCACAGGACUUUUUUUUUUACUUGUCUUUGUUUUUUGUGGCAAUUUGUCAUUUCAUGAUGGUAAGAAAUGUCAGGCCUUUGAUUCUGGCAUGGUCACAUUGUCCUUUAUUUCACAGCUUGGCACCAAGCCCUUGUACUCUGUAGCCCAGCAGGGCUCUGCCUUUGCAGUGUGUAAAGGUAGCUCUGCUUUUGCACAGCUUUUUGUUUUGCUUUUUUUUCCACUCUAGCUAAAGGAAAGAUGAGAUAAACAGAAACAAGCAGCAUUCUUUUGCUCAGUUUUGUUCACAGAGUUCUUGGUUGGAGGCAAAUAUCUCUUUUAAAAGAUGUCAUCAAUAAUGAAGCGAGAUGAAUUUUCCAGGGAGCAGUUCAUGCCAGGGUGGUGACAAAACAUUACCUGGCCUCCUACUGGAUACUAUGGGUUAUUUUGAAUUCACUUUUCUCCUCCUCCACAGUCUUUUGAAGGUCUGUUUUCAUGGUUCAUUUUAUCCCCUUGGGUUCUCAUAACGAGAACUAUUUACUAACCUGGCUGCCUUCCCAGGAAGAGUGCCACAGCUCCCAGUCAGGAACAGACUUAUCAAUAGCUCUUCAUCAGGCAAGUCAUGCUUUGACAGAAAUGGAGAUGUCAAAAACUCCUUUUUCAUUCAACCUCCUUCCUGGUGUUUUCCACUCCUCUUUUUCCAGUCUUCCAGCCUAGAAGUUGCCCUACCCCCUUUUUAAUGGUACAAGUUUUAACUAGUUGAGAGUUGAGUGUAAAUAUGGUACCAUGCUAGGAAGCACCACACCAGGAUUACUGAAACAUUGCAAAACAUUUUCACUGGUACCAAAAAUAUUUGAGAAUAAAUCCGUUUCAUCACCACCCAGUAUUACCACAGAUUUCUGGCAUGAAGGAUGAAAAUAAUCUAAACUCUUGGGAAGGCCUUAUGUUUCAGAUUUGAUUUGGACUUGUGGAAGGUAUGGAGGGAGACAGCUAUGUGUCUUUACCCUGAAAUAGGAGUUACUUUUUUCUGUGUCAGAAAACAUGAUUCACCAGGCAUGCCAGGGAGAGCAUCACUCAGGAAAGAAAUUAUUGUAUCCCCUCAGGCCUCCUCAUCCCUUUUUGAGUUUCAAAUCCUGGCAAUGUGACUUGGGAACAUGACUGAACUUCACAAACUGUGUGAAGUGCACUAACGGGGGAGCAUUGGGAGCACACCACAAUGCGCCUGUGUGGGUCACUGUUCUCCUUCGUGCUCCAUAAAAAUUCUUUCUUCUCCAUGCUAGUAGAAAAACAGGUUUGAAAGCCCCACAUUCCACAGCUGCACUGGUAGGACACCUCACAGCCUCUUGAAGGAACCCUGGUUAUCACACAGAAGUCCUGCAAAUCUUCAAACCUGAUGUCACUGAUAAUAUUUUGCUUAACUUGCAGAUACGGGGUGUGAUGGAAUGAUGUGUCUUGUUCAUCUUUCCAGAGUCAGGACCAGCCUAGACUCAUCCAGGGCUGAAUUUCAUCCAGCUCAGAAUGAGGAAUUUACUUCCUACUUGUUUUCUUAUUGACUCUGAGAUCACCAAGAUGAGUUUCACUUGUAUCUCACAGGACUCCUAACCUGGGAAUACCCUGAAAGAUAUCAUUGCAGUUCUUUCAUAGAAAACUGCUGUCUAAAUUAUUACUAUUAAUAGUAAUUAUUAUUUUCUGCUAUAGUUUUACCUGUUAUACCUGGACUGUGAAUUUGGUUCCAAUCUGAUGUAAGUUAUCUCUCCACCUCCUGGCAGAACAGAGUUCUUGCAGAGAAGAGCAAAGUAACCAUGUUAAAUGGGCUGCGAGCCAGCUCCAGAGGCACAGGUGAAACAAAAUCCAGCUCUAUGCAACCAUUAUGGAUCAGGAAUAUUUAAGAGGCACAGGCAUCACCUUUCCAGCCUUCACUAGGAGCUUUUAAAAUGAAUUAGCUCAGAGCCCACAAGAAAAACAACGUCAGCUCUCUCUGUUUCUGCUGCAGCGAAGCAUUCAGCAGGGAGCAGCCGGGAGGACCCAGCAGCCCUGCCUGACCCGACCGUCCCUGGAGCCGGCGUGGCCGGGCUGAGGCACCACCGGACAGCAUGGAGCAGCCUCGGGACAGCGCCCGCAGGGCUGGAGCACUAGGAGACCCCCAGGGUAGCUAAAACCAGAGCUAAAAAGGGGGAAAAAAAGCUACCUGACUGUGGUGAAAUAUUUUGCUGUGGAGAAGAUUUGCUGUAAAUCAUGCUGGGAGAACAUGUCUCACAUAGGAUUUAUCCAAGCUUCAUGCGCAGCGGCACUCUAGCCGCUGGCACCCAACUUCACCUGUUACCAGUUCACGAAGCAGAGAGUCUGAAGGGUUUAUGCUUUACUAGACACAAUGUUAUUAAAGAUUUAUCAACAGCA
RNA transcript from Serinus canaria (Common canary), 3327 nucleotides. It is a transcript of the gene named ninjurin 1, with no coding region annotated. The record is from RefSeq and is a predicted model, not a curated record. The transcript has 6 exons. NCBI's taxonomy places the organism in Eukaryota, Metazoa, Chordata, Aves, Passeriformes, Fringillidae.